AUAAUCAGAAGGAGACACAUUUUUUCAGGUUAUGGAAAAGUGCUUCAAGUGAUGACUACAGCUGCAUCUGUCACACCUCCAUAAAGGUAACUAGGGAUGCAAGAUAUCUGUCAAAGGCUCCAAGCUUGGAUGUGUCCUCAGAGUGAAGAUUAGAGGGUUUCACUCAAAGUCAUGGACAGCAGAAUCUAUGGACAGCUCUUCCCAAAAACAAAGCAGUCAGAAGAAUGGAG
Pipra filicauda (Wire-tailed manakin) is the source of this 230-nucleotide long non-coding RNA. RefSeq lists it as uncharacterized. The transcript has 3 exons. The record is from RefSeq and is a predicted model, not a curated record. Lineage: Eukaryota; Metazoa; Chordata; Aves; Passeriformes; Pipridae.